GCUUAACCGGAGAAGUGCAUCGGAAACUGGAUAACUUGAGUGCAGAAGAGGGUAGUGGAACUCCAUGUGUAGCGGUGGAAUGCGUAGAUAUAUGGAAGAACACCAGUGGCGAAGGCGGCUACCUGGUCUGCAACUGACGCUGAGACUCGAAAGCAUGGGUAGCGAACAGGAUUAGAUACCCUGGUAGUCCAUGCCGUAGACGAUGAGUGCUAGGUGUUGGAGGGUUUCCGCCCUUCAGUGCCGGAGCUAACGCAUUAAGCACUCCGCCUGGGGAGUACGACCGCAAGGUUGAAACUCAAAGGAAUUGACGGGGGCCCGCACAAGCGGUGGAGCAUGUGGUUUAAUUCGAAGCUACGCGAAGAACCUUACCAGGUCUUGACAUCUUGCGCCAACCCUAGAGAUAGGGCGUUUCCUUCGGGAACGCAAUGACAGGUGGUGCAUGGUCGUCGUCAGCUCGUGUCGUGAGAUGUUGGGUUAAGUCCCGCAACGAGCGCAACCCUUGUUGCUAGUUGCCAGCAUUAAGUUGGGCACUCUAGUGAGACUGCCGGUGACAAACCGGAGGAAGGUGGGGACGACGUCAGAUCAUCAUGCCCCUUAUGACCUGGGCUACACACGUGCUACAAUGGACGGUACAACG
RNAcentral lists this ribosomal RNA (637 nucleotides) under uncultured bacterium. RNAcentral describes it as "bacterial SSU rRNA". It matches the Rfam family "Bacterial small subunit ribosomal RNA", at positions 607 to 1244 of the family's 1533-position model. The record is from RNAcentral.